RNAcentral lists this ribosomal RNA (1371 nucleotides) under uncultured bacterium. RNAcentral describes it as "bacterial SSU rRNA". It matches the Rfam family "Bacterial small subunit ribosomal RNA", at positions 28 to 1381 of the family's 1533-position model. The record is from RNAcentral.
GAUGAACGCUGGCGGCGUGCCUAAUACAUGCAAGUCGAGCGAACGGACGAGAAGCUUGCUUCUCUGAUGUUAGCGGCGGACGGGUGAGUAACACGUGGAUAACCUACCUAUAAGACUGGGAUAACUUCGGGAAACCGGAGCUAAUACCGGAUAAUAUUUUGAACCGCAUGGUUCAAAAGUGAAAGACGGUCUUGCUGUCACUUAUAGAUGGAUCCGCGCUGCAUUAGCUAGUUGGUAAGGUAACGGCUUACCAAGGCAACGAUGCAUAGCCGACCUGAGAGGGUGAUCGGCCACACUGGAACUGAGACACGGUCCAGACUCCUACGGGAGGCAGCAGUAGGGAAUCUUCCGCAAUGGGCGAAAGCCUGACGGAGCAACGCCGCGUGAGUGAUGAAGGUCUUCGGAUCGUAAAACUCUGUUAUUAGGGAAGAACAUAUGUGUAAGUAACUGUGCACAUCUUGACGGUACCUAAUCAGAAAGCCACGGCUAACUACGUGCCAGCAGCCGCGGUAAUACGUAGGUGGCAAGCGUUAUCCGGAAUUAUUGGGCGUAAAGCGCGCGUAGGCGGUUUUUUAGUCUGAUGUGAAAGCCCACGGCUCAACCGUGGAGGGUCAUUGGAAACUGGAAAACUUGAGUGCAGAAGAGGAAAGUGGAAUUCCAUGUGUAGCGGUGAAAUGCGCAGAGAUAUGGAGGAACACCAGUGGCGAAGGCGACUUUCUGGUCUGUAACUGACGCUGAUGUGCGAAAGCGUGGGGAUCAAACAGGAUUAGAUACCCUGGUAGUCCACGCCGUAAACGAUGAGUGCUAAGUGUUAGGGGGUUUCCGCCCCUUAGUGCUGCAGCUAACGCAUUAAGCACUCCGCCUGGGGAGUACGACCGCAAGGUUGAAACUCAAAGGAAUUGACGGGGACCCGCACAAGCGGUGGAGCAUGUGGUUUAAUUCGAAGCAACGCGAAGAACCUUACCAAAUCUUGACAUCCUUUGACAACUCUAGAGAUAGAGCCUUCCCCUUCGGGGGACAAAGUGACAGGUAGUGCAUGGUUGUCGUCAGCUCGUGUCGUGAGAUGUUGGGUUAAGUCCCGCAACGAGCGCAACCCUUAAGCUUAGUUGCCAUCAUUAAGUUGGGCACUCUAAGUUGACUGCCGGUGACAAACCGGAGGAAGGUGGGGAUGACGUCAAAUCAUCAUGCCCCUUAUGAUUUGGGCUACACACGUGCUACAAUGGACAAUACAAAGGGCAGCGAAACCGCGAGGUCAAGCAAAUCCCAUAAAGUUGUUCUCAGUUCGGAUUGUAGUCUGCAACUCGACUACAUGAAGCUGGAAUCGCUAGUAAUCGUAGAUCAGCAUGCUACGGUGAAUACGUUCCCGGGUCU